This 103-nucleotide ribosomal RNA is filed under the name uncultured bacterium. RNAcentral describes it as "partial 16S ribosomal RNA". It matches the Rfam family "Bacterial small subunit ribosomal RNA", at positions 1380 to 1482 of the family's 1533-position model. The record is from RNAcentral.
CUUGUACACACCGCCCGUCACACCAUGGGAGCGGGUUCUGCCAGAAGUGGGUAGCCUAACCGCAAGGGGGGCGCUCACCACGGCAGGGUUCGUGACUGGGGUG